Molecule: ribosomal RNA, 2873 nt
Filed under: Salmonella enterica subsp. enterica serovar Enteritidis
Lineage: Bacteria; Pseudomonadati; Pseudomonadota; Gammaproteobacteria; Enterobacterales; Enterobacteriaceae
Description: partial 23S ribosomal RNA
Rfam family: Bacterial large subunit ribosomal RNA
Source: RNAcentral
GCGAUGAAGGGCGUACUAAUCUGCGAUAAGCGCCGGUAAGGUGAUAUGAACCGUUAUAACCGGCGAUACCCGAAUGGGGAAACCCAGUGUGAUUCGUCACACUAUCAUUAACUGAAUCCAUAGGUUAAUGAGGCGAACCGGGGGAACUGAAACAUCUAAGUACCCCGAGGAAAAGAAAUCAACCGAGAUUCCCCCAGUAGCGGCGAGCGAACGGGGAGGAGCCCAGAGCCUGAAUCAGCAUGUGUGUUAGUGGAAGCGUCUGGAAAGGCGCGCGAUACAGGGUGACAGCCCCGUACACAAAAGCGCAUGUGCUGUGAGCUCGAUGAGUAGGGCGGGACACGUGGUAUCCUGUCUGAAUAUGGGGGGACCAUCCUCCAAGGCUAAAUACUCCUGACUGACCGAUAGUGAACCAGUACCGUGAGGGAAAGGCGAAAAGAACCCCGGCGAGGGGAGUGAAAAAGAACCUGAAACCGUGUACGUACAAGCAGUGGGAGCCCCACCACCAAAGCAUUUGCUGUACCGCGUUGACGGAGCGAAGCGACGUCAAACCGAUAAAACAGCAGUGUAAAGUGAGCCGCAGGGCGCUUUGCGCGACAGCGCAAAGGCAGGCGGUUUCGCGUAGCGAAAGCGAAUGCUUUGGGGUGGGGUGACUGCGUACCUUUUGUAUAAUGGGUCAGCGACUUAUAUUCUGUAGCAAGGUUAACCGAAUAGGGGAGCCGGAGGGAAACCGAGUCUUAAUUGGGCGUUAAGUUGCAGGGUAUAGACCCGAAACCCGGUGAUCUAGCCAUGGGCAGGUUGAAGGUUGGGUAACACUAACUGGAGGACCGAACCGACUAAUGUUGAAAAAUUAGCGGAUGACCUGUGGCUGGGGGUGAAAGGCCAAUCAAACCGGGAGAUAGCUGGUUCUCCCCGAAAGCUAUUUAGGUAGCGCCUCGUGAAUUCAUCUCCGGGGGUAGAGCACUGUUUCGGCUAGGGGGCCAUCCCGGCUUACCAACCCGAUGCAAACUGCGAAUACCGGAGAAUGUUAUCACGGGAGACACACGGCGGGUGCUAACGUCCGUCGUGAAGAGGGAAACAACCCAGACCGCCAGCUAAGGUCCCAAAGUCAUGGUUAAGUGGGAAACGAUGUGGGAAGGCCCAGACAGCCAGGAUGUUGGCUUAGAAGCAGCCAUCAUUUAAAGAAAGCGUAAUAGCUCACUGGUCGAGUCGGCCUGCGCGGAAGAUGUAACGGGGCUAAACCAUGCACCGAAGCUGCGGCAGCGACGCUUAUGCGUUGUUGGGUAGGGGAGCGUUCUGUAAGCCUGCGAAGGUGGCCUGUGAGGGUUGCUGGAGGUAUCAGAAGUGCGAAUGCUGACAUAAGUAACGAUAAAGCGGGUGAAAAGCCCGCUCGCCGGAAGACCAAGGGUUCCUGUCCAACGUUAAUCGGGGCAGGGUGAGUCGACCCCUAAGGCGAGGCCGAAAGGCGUAGUCGAUGGGAAACGGGUUAAUAUUCCCGUACUUGGUGUUACUGCGAAGGGGGGACGGAGAAGGCUAUGUUGGCCGGGCGACGGUUGUCCCGGUUUAAGCGUGUAGGUGUGUGUUCCAGGUAAAUCCGGUUCACUUUAACACUGAGGCGUGACGACGAGGCACUACGGUGCUGAAGCAACAAAUGCCCUGCUUCCAGGAAAAGCCUCUAAGCAUCAGGUAACAUCAAAUCGUACCCCAAACCGACACAGGUGGUCAGGUAGAGAAUACCAAGGCGCUUGAGAGAACUCGGGUGAAGGAACUAGGCAAAAUGGUGCCGUAACUUCGGGAGAAGGCACGCUGACACGUAGGUGAAGUGAUUUACUCAUGGAGCUGAAGUCAGUCGAAGAUACCAGCUGGCUGCAACUGUUUAUUAAAAACACAGCACUGUGCAAACACGAAAGUGGACGUAUACGGUGUGACGCCUGCCCGGUGCCGGAAGGUUAAUUGAUGGGGUCAGCGCAAGCGAAGCUCCUGAUCGAAGCCCCGGUAAACGGCGGCCGUAACUAUAACGGUCCUAAGGUAGCGAAAUUCCUUGUCGGGUAAGUUCCGACCUGCACGAAUGGCGUAAUGAUGGCCAGGCUGUCUCCACCCGAGACUCAGUGAAAUUGAACUCGCUGUGAAGAUGCAGUGUACCCGCGGCAAGACGGAAAGACCCCGUGAACCUUUACUAUAGCUUGACACUGAACAUUGAGCCUUGAUGUGUAGGAUAGGUGGGAGGCUUUGAAGUGUGGACGCCAGUCUGCAUGGAGCCGACCUUGAAAUACCACCCUUUAAUGUUUGAUGUUCUAACGUGGACCCGUUACCCGGGUUGCGGACAGUGUCUGGUGGGUAGUUUGACUGGGGCGGUCUCCUCCUAAAGAGUAACGGAGGAGCACGAAGGUUGGCUAAUCCUGGUCGGACAUCAGGAGGUUAGUGCAAUGGCAUAAGCCAGCUUGACUGCGAGCGUGACGGCGCGAGCAGGUGCGAAAGCAGGUCAUAGUGAUCCGGUGGUUCUGAAUGGAAGGGCCAUCGCUCAACGGAUAAAAGGUACUCCGGGGAUAACAGGCUGAUACCGCCCAAGAGUUCAUAUCGACGGCGGUGUUUGGCACCUCGAUGUCGGCUCAUCACAUCCUGGGGCUGAAGUAGGUCCCAAGGGUAUGGCUGUUCGCCAUUUAAAGUGGUACGCGAGCUGGGUUUAGAACGUCGUGAGACAGUUCGGUCCCUAUCUGCCGUGGGCGCUGGAGAACUGAGGGGGGCUGCUCCUAGUACGAGAGGACCGGAGUGGACGCAUCACUGGUGUUCGGGUUGUCAUGCCAAUGGCACUGCCCGGUAGCUAAAUGCGGAAGAGAUAAGUGCUGAAAGCAUCUAAGCACGAAACUUGCCCCGAG